GAUGAACGCUAGCUACAGGCUUAACACAUGCAAGUCGCGCGGCAGCAUGGGGGUUGCUUGCAAUCCCUGAUGGCGACCGGCGCACGGGUGAGUAACGCGUAUCCAACCUGCCCUUCACCACGGGCUAACCCGGCGAAAGUCUGACUAAUACCGUAUGUUGUCCAUUGACGGCAUCCGAGUGGGACGAAAGGCUUAGCGGUGAGGGAUGGGGAUGCGUCCGUUUUGCUUGACGGCGGGGUAACGGCCCACCGUGGAUCCGAUCGGGAGGGGUUCUGGGAGGAGGCCCCACCGCAAUGGAAACGAGGCACGGACCAGAACGCGACGGGAGGCAGCAGUAAGGAAUAUUGGGCAAUGGGCGUAAGCCUGAACCCGCCAAGUAGCGGACAGGAUGACGGCGCUCUGGGUUGUAAACUGCUUUUAUGCGGGGAUAAAGGAACCCACGUGUGGGUUUUUGAAGGUACCGCAUGAAUAAGGACCGGCUAAUUCCGUG
This 490-nucleotide ribosomal RNA is filed under the name uncultured bacterium. Its description in RNAcentral is "partial 16S ribosomal RNA". It matches the Rfam family "Bacterial small subunit ribosomal RNA", at positions 28 to 507 of the family's 1533-position model. The record is from RNAcentral.